GUGGUAGCCAUUUCUCAGGCUCCCUCUUUGAAUUCAAAUGCUGAUUCCUUGUCACCCGUGGUCACCAUGGUAGGCACGGCUACUACCCUC
Long non-coding RNA from Balaenoptera musculus (blue whale), 90 nucleotides. RefSeq lists it as uncharacterized. The record is from RefSeq and is a predicted model, not a curated record. NCBI's taxonomy places the organism in Eukaryota, Metazoa, Chordata, Mammalia, Artiodactyla, Balaenopteridae. The transcript has 3 exons.